This 497-nucleotide ribosomal RNA is filed under the name uncultured bacterium. Its description in RNAcentral is "partial 16S ribosomal RNA". It matches the Rfam family "Bacterial small subunit ribosomal RNA", at positions 28 to 507 of the family's 1533-position model. The record is from RNAcentral.
GAUGAACGCUGGCGGCGUGCCUAAUACAUGCAAGUCGAGCGAACGGACGAGAAGCUUGCUUCUCUGAUGUUAGCGGCGGACGGGUGAGUAACACGUGGAUAACCUACCUAUAAGACUGGGAUAAAUUCGGGAAACCGGAGCUAAUACCGGAUGAUAUUUUGAACCGCAUGGUUCAAAAGUGAAAGACGGUCUUGCUGUCACUUAUAGAUGGAUCCGCGCUGCAUUAGCUAGUUGGUAAGGUAACGGCUUACCAAGGCAACGAUGCAUAGCCGACCUGAGAGGGUGAUCGGCCACACUGGAACUGAGACACGGUCCAGACUCCUACGGGAGGCAGCAGUAGGGAAUCUUCCGCAAAGGGCGAAAGCCUGACGGAGCAACGCCGCGUGAGUGAUGAAGGUCUUCGGAUCGUAAAACUCUGUUAUUAGGGAAGAACAUAUGUGUAAGUAACUGUGCACAUCUUGACGGUACCUAAUCAGAAAGCCACGGCUAACUACGUG